This 77-nucleotide transfer RNA is filed under the name Plastoroseomonas hellenica. RNAcentral's name for it is "tRNA-Arg". It matches the Rfam family "tRNA". From Rfam's summary of the family: Transfer RNA (tRNA) molecules are approximately 80 nucleotides in length. Their secondary structure includes four short double-helical elements and three loops (D, anti-codon, and T loops). Lineage: Bacteria; Pseudomonadati; Pseudomonadota; Alphaproteobacteria; Acetobacterales; Acetobacteraceae. The record is from RNAcentral.
GCGCCCUUAGCUCAACUGGAUAGAGCAUCCGGCUUCUACCCGGAUGGUUGGGGGUUCGAGUCCCUCAGGGCGCGCCA